GUUUGAUUUUUCGAAGAAAUGGUUAGGCUUUCCCAGAUGGUGCAGGGAUCGGGAUUUCAGGAGGACACAAUAUUAAUUAAAAAGAAUUGUGAAUAUAUUGCAGGAUGCUCCUGCUGCUGAACUUCUAAAGGAGGAAUUUGUCCAUCUUCCUUGCCUGGGGGGGACCAUCCUCCAGGACUCUUCCCAAUGUCCCACUCCUUGUUUGGGUUCCGUCAUAUAUCGCCACCUCUACUUUAUGUUGCUGAAGUGAAAGAAGCAUACUGGGCGAUCCAUCUUGUUCGCAGGAAAACCCCGGGGGCUAUGGAGAAGGCUCAGCAUCCAGCUCUGAGCUCAAUUAGCACAAAUCUCAUUCUAUAAAUUAGACCACGUUGCAGAGAAAGGAGAAAAUGCGGCUCCUUGACAGGGGGGGAGAGAGAGAGAGAGAAAUGCUUUGGGACAGUUGCCUUGAGAAAGGCUGGGAGGGGGGUUAUGCAGCCCCCCCCCCCGCUGCAGGAGGACAAGGGGCUCCCAACCACGCUCCAAACCGCCCUUUGCCUCAUGGCGGGUUCCGACGCUGAGCAGAGCCCAAGGUGGCAGCAACAGAUACGGGCAACGUCAGCCUCUGCUCCAGUGUCUGCAGCUCAGACGUGAGCCUUCCCUGGAAGGAAAGCAACUCUUCUUGCUCGAGCGAACCAAAUCAUGAGCUUUUAUUUCCCCCUUCAAUGACUCAGAGGAUAGUUCUAAAAAUAUGUUAUUUUCCAAGGCAGUUCCGGCACUAGACAGCCCUCGGGAGGUGCACCGAUAGCAGCUCAGACGCUGGGGAGCCGUCAGGAGAGCACCUCUGGGGUGUAUCCCUGCAGAAUGACUUAUGUCCAUUAUAAGUGACACAAAUCCCUUCCCCAGUCUCCACCACAGCGCGACGUGCACCAACACCUCUGGUGAGGCCAGGUUCCCAGGAAAACACCACCAGCUCAUGGAUUUGGAAAUGCUUGGUGUUAACAGAUUGAUAGAGCUGGUAUUUUCCUGCAGGUGAUGUGGGAAAGCAGAUGUGAUUCGGACCCUGGUGGUUGUUGUACGCCUCUUAAUGACCCCAUCUACAGCUGAGGCCUCACCCCCACUUGUGCCUGGUGAGAGGGGAAGGGGGUGCACCGGUUCCAUGGCACAGAAGCGGUGGGAGUA
This 1158-nucleotide long non-coding RNA is filed under the name Calidris pygmaea (Spoon-billed sandpiper). Its description in RNAcentral is "lncRNA (ENSCPGG00000016508.1)". Lineage: Eukaryota; Metazoa; Chordata; Aves; Charadriiformes; Scolopacidae. The record is from RNAcentral.